Molecule: long non-coding RNA, 103 nt
Organism: Sphaeramia orbicularis (orbiculate cardinalfish)
Lineage: Eukaryota; Metazoa; Chordata; Actinopteri; Kurtiformes; Apogonidae
Exons: 3
Source: RefSeq, a predicted model, not a curated record
AGACUGAAGAACAGCUGUUUGAAAAAGUCAACACCUACUCCUCCAGCACCACAUAUCUACUCAUGUACAGAGAAAAAACAGCCCGCAGAGUUAAACCUGAAAG